RNAcentral lists this unclassified non-coding RNA (352 nucleotides) under Metrosideros collina x Metrosideros excelsa. RNAcentral's name for it is "partial external transcribed spacer". The record is from RNAcentral. Lineage: Eukaryota; Viridiplantae; Streptophyta; Magnoliopsida; Myrtales; Myrtaceae.
GAUAAGUUGGAUGCAAAAAAUGGGUUCCUGUGUUGCAUACCUAUUGUGAUGGAAAUUUGUCCAUUUCGUUGUCCCUUUCGUCAUAACAUCCUUUUGGAUGCUUUGUCGGACUAGAUAGUAGGGCUUGUGUUCCACGAACCAUCUCAUGGGAUCGUUCGGAUGGACCAUGAGCGCCUACUCGUUCUCUCGGAUGCGGAACUUUCUUCAUGGGUAUGGGGUCAUUGCCCCCUAUUUCCCAAAUCUUUAAGCGUUCGUCGCUUUAYUGGAAUGACGCUCUUGCCUUGUCUUGGACCAUGUGGAGCUUUCGGGCUUCAUGAUGGAUCAUGCUUGGCGGACGUCGUGAAGGAAUGCU